GUCCUUUUGAUUUUUAUUUAAGGUCUGACCUGCCCACUGAUUUAUUUAAUGGCCGCGGUAUUUUGACCGUGCAAAGGUAGCAUAAUAAUUUGUCUUUUAAUUGAAGGCUUGUAUGAAUGGUUGGACGAGAAAGCUUCUUUCUUUAUAAUAUAAAUAUUAAUUUUAUUUUUUAGUUAAAAAGCUAAAAUUUUGUUGUAGGACGAGAAGACCCUAUAGAACUUUAUAUUUAUUUUUAUAUUAAUAUUUUUGGUUAAUAAUAUAUUAUAUUUUUAUAAAUAUUUUGUUGGGGCGACAAGAAAAUUUAUUUAACUUUUUUUAUUAAUUUCAUUAAUUAAUGUAUAAAUGAUCCUUUAUUAUGGAUAGUUAGAAUAAGUUACCUUAGGGAUAACAGCGUAAUUUUUUUGGAGAGUUCUUAUCGAUAAAAAAGUUUGCGA
RNAcentral lists this ribosomal RNA (434 nucleotides) under Sigara contortuplicata. RNAcentral describes it as "partial large subunit ribosomal RNA". It matches the Rfam family "Archaeal large subunit ribosomal RNA", at positions 1921 to 2592 of the family's 2987-position model. The record is from RNAcentral. Lineage: Eukaryota; Metazoa; Arthropoda; Insecta; Hemiptera; Corixidae.